RNAcentral lists this unclassified non-coding RNA (218 nucleotides) under Hevea brasiliensis (rubber tree). Lineage: Eukaryota; Viridiplantae; Streptophyta; Magnoliopsida; Malpighiales; Euphorbiaceae. The record is from RNAcentral.
GAAACCUGUGAGCAUAAAACUUUUAAAAUUAAAAAUUCACCCAUAAAUUUUAAUUUAACAAAAAAAAACAUUUUUGGCCUUUCAAAUUUUCAAAAUCAAAAUUUUACUUAUAAAUUUAAGUGUAUUUUUUUUAAAAUUAUUAUUUAGCCCUUUAAUAUUUUUAUUUUUAUUUUGAUCUGCACUUUUAUGUAAAUUUUAUUCAAACUUCUAGUUGCGUC